RNAcentral lists this long non-coding RNA (644 nucleotides) under Salmo trutta (river trout). RNAcentral describes it as "lncRNA (ENSSTUG00000047051.1)". The record is from RNAcentral. Lineage: Eukaryota; Metazoa; Chordata; Actinopteri; Salmoniformes; Salmonidae.
CAGAGCCAAGAAUAGUUGGGGGGAGUCACAUGGUGUUGAGGGCUUUUAAAUCAGUGAGUGGAGCUUGAAGCCUGGGAUCAGUCCAUGUGGUGGAUGCCAAUGGCAACAAUAUGAGUGGGAUUGGGACCCACAACUACAGUAGUGUGACGGUGAUGUCGUUUGAUAUGAACAGGACCGCGGCUCUCACCACGGUCGACCAGGAUAUGAACGCAGCAGUACAUGAGUUCAAGGUGUUCAACAUCAUCCUAAUGUCUCUAGCCUUGUGUGUUCUCACCAUCACUGGCCUGUUCUGCAGCAUAUCCUGUCACAACCGCAGACGGCUGUCGAAGAGGGCCCAUAUGUAUGAGAGUGCUGUGCUUCGUGACGUACCAGUCAACCCGGUGGACAUCAGAGCUGUCAAGAGAUCCACCAGUUUCAGAAACCCUCUCUCAUUCUUCAGAAAACAGGAAGCAUCUAAGGACAACUCCAGAAUCUACUACAUCUACAGUAACCCUCUACCCAUAGGGCUGGAGGAAGAGGACACUAUCCAGAAUAUCGCCCCUGGUGGAUUGAAGGAGCAAGAAGAGCUCACUUUUCAGGACUACGCCAAUGAUCCCAAUAGUGGUAUCAUCCUGGACCCGCCCAACUUUUACAUGCAGCUCUAG